This 392-nucleotide ribosomal RNA is filed under the name uncultured bacterium. RNAcentral describes it as "partial 16S ribosomal RNA". It matches the Rfam family "Bacterial small subunit ribosomal RNA", at positions 523 to 918 of the family's 1533-position model. The record is from RNAcentral.
AUACGGAGGAUCCGAGCGUUAUCCGGAUUUAUUGGGUUUAAAGGGUGCGCAGGCGGCCAUUUAAGUCAGCGGUUAAAUCGUGGGGCUCAACCCCAUUCUGCCGUUGAUACUGGGUGGCUUGAUUGCGGUCGAGGUUGGCGGAAUUCGUUGUGUAGCGGUGAAAUGCAUAGAUAUGACGAAGAACACCGAUUGCGUAGGCAGCUGACCAGAUCGCAAAUGACGCUCAUGCACGAAAGUGCGGGGAUCGAACAGGAUUAGAUUCCCUGGUAGUCCGCACAGUAAACGAUGAAUACUUGUUUUCGGCGAUAUAAUGUCGGAGGCAAAGCGAAAGCGAUAAGUAUUCCACCUGGGGAGUACGCCGGCAACGGUGAAACUCAAAUGAAUUGACGGGU